This 488-nucleotide small RNA is filed under the name Arabidopsis thaliana (thale cress). Its description in RNAcentral is "ATSL023650". Lineage: Eukaryota; Viridiplantae; Streptophyta; Magnoliopsida; Brassicales; Brassicaceae. The record is from RNAcentral.
UCUUGGACAAGAAGAAACGAAAACAAAAUAACAUUCCAAAUAUGGUUGAAGUUAUACAUCACUCGAGGGGUUCGAAUUGAAGUCACCAGCAAGGAUCACCGAUGGACUGCAAUUUUCUACAGCCGAUAUCGUCCUCUUGAACAUGGCUAAUCUAAACAUUAGAGACUUGGCUUGAGCCAGUUUUACAUCAUCCCAUUCAUCAGGUUUCCUGCGUUUGAAAAAUUAUGAAAAUCAUAUAUAUAUGAAAGUUGGCCAACUCUCUCCAAAUGAGUGACACAUCAUCACACAAUAAAAUGACAUGUGUCAUUCUAUAUUAAUUAAAUUAAAAGAGUAGUAAAACUAAUUGAGAAAAAAUCAAAAGUCUUUUGUUGUGUUAAAUUCUUCAUUAAUUUCACUCUUAAAUGAAUUUUCUAAAAACAUUCAAUUAUAAAAAUUCAUAAUAAUGUAUCAAGCACUACUUUCAUUCUAUUCUACUUAUUUUAUUAAAU